GUGCUUGCUUCAAUAGUACAUAUACUAAAAUUGGAAUGAUACAGAGAGAUUAACAUAACCCCUACACAGGGAUAACACUCAAAUUCGUGAAGCGUUGCAUACUUUU
Molecule: small nuclear RNA, 106 nt
Organism: Diceros bicornis minor
Lineage: Eukaryota; Metazoa; Chordata; Mammalia; Perissodactyla; Rhinocerotidae
Source: RefSeq, a predicted model, not a curated record